This 373-nucleotide ribosomal RNA is filed under the name uncultured organism. Its description in RNAcentral is "bacterial SSU rRNA". It matches the Rfam family "Bacterial small subunit ribosomal RNA", at positions 526 to 896 of the family's 1533-position model. The record is from RNAcentral.
CAGAGGUCCCAAGCGUUGUUCGGAUUCACUGGGCGUAAAGGGUGCGUAGGUGGCUUGGUAAGUUUGAUGUGAAAUCUCCGGGCUUAACCCGGAAAUGGCAUUGAAUACUACUUUAGCUGGAGGUUUGGAGGGGGGACUGGAAUUCUCGGUGUAGCAGUGAAAUGCGUAGAUAUCGAGAGGAACACCAGUGGCGAAGGCGAGUCCCUGGACAACACCUGACACUGAGGCACGAAAGCUAGGGGAGCAAACAGGAUUAGAUACCCUGGUAGUCCUAGCUGUAAACGGUGCAUAUUUGCUGUAAAAGGAAUCGACCCCUUUUGUGGCGAAGCUAACGCGAUAAAUAUGCCGCCUGGGAAGUACGGUCGCAAGAUUA